CAAGCUAGAAUCACCGCAGGUGUCCUUGCACAGCUGAGCUCUGGCCGCCAGACGCCGUCUUUGCCCGGAACGGGUCCGGGAUGAGAUAAACUUCCCAUCGGGGCCCUUCAUGGGGC
Long non-coding RNA from Nanorana parkeri, 116 nucleotides. RefSeq lists it as uncharacterized. The record is from RefSeq and is a predicted model, not a curated record. Lineage: Eukaryota; Metazoa; Chordata; Amphibia; Anura; Dicroglossidae. The transcript has 3 exons.